This 253-nucleotide ribosomal RNA is filed under the name uncultured bacterium. RNAcentral's name for it is "partial 16S ribosomal RNA". It matches the Rfam family "Bacterial small subunit ribosomal RNA", at positions 524 to 776 of the family's 1533-position model. The record is from RNAcentral.
GACAGAGGAGGCAAGCGUUGUUCGGAAUCAUUGGGCUUAAAGGGCGCGUAGGCGGGUGCUCAAGUCCGGGGUGAAAUCCCACAGCUCAACUGUGGAACUGCCUCGGAUACUGGGUGUCUCGAGGGUGGCAGGGGUAUGCGGAACUAUCGGUGGAGCGGUGAAAUGCGUUGAUAUCGAUAGGAACUCCGGUGGCGAAGGCGGCAUACUGGUCCACUUCUGACGCUGAGGCGCGAAAGCCAGGGGAGCAAACGGU